GAAGCUAUAGCUAUACUAUGACGUAUAGCGGCGGACGGGUGAGUAACACGUGGGCAACCUGCCUAGUAAGACUGGGAUAACUUCGGGAAACCGAAGCUAAUACCGGAUAGGAUCUUCUCCUUCAUGGGAGAUGAUUGAAAGAUGGUUUCGGCUAUCACUUACAGAUGGGCCCGCGGUGCAUUAGCUAGUUGGUGAGGUAACGGCUCACCAAGGCAACGAUGCAUAGCCGACCUGAGAGGGUGAUCGGCCACACUGGGACUGAGACACGGCCCAACUCCUACGGGAGGCAGCAGUAGGGAAUCUUCCGCAAUGGACGAAAGUCUGACGGAGCAACGCCGCGUGAGUGAUGAAGGCUUUCGGGUCGUAAAACUCUGUUGUUAGGGAAGAACAAGUACGAGAGUAACUGCUCGUACCUUGACGGUACCUAACCAGAAAGCCACGGCUAACUACGUGCCAGCAGCCGCGGUAAUACGUAGGUGGCAAGCGUUAUCCGGAAUUAUUGGGCGUAAAGCGCGCGCAGGCGGUUUCUUAAGUCUGAUGUGAAAGCCCACGGCUCAACCGUGGAGGGUCAUUGGAAACUGGGGAACUUGAGUGCAGAAGAGAAAAGCGGAAUUCCACGUGUAGCGGUGAAAUGCGUAGAGAUGUGGAGGAACACCAGUGGCGAAGGCGGCUUAUAUGGUCUGUAACUGACGCUGAGGCGCGAAAGCGUGGGGAGCAAACAGGAUUAGAUACCCUGGUAGUCCACGCCGUAAACGAUGAGUGCUAAGUGUUAGAGGGUUACCGCCCUAUUAGUGCUGCAGCUAACGCAUUAAGCACUCCGCCUGGGGAGUACGGUCGCAGACUGAAACU
This 849-nucleotide ribosomal RNA is filed under the name Priestia aryabhattai. Its description in RNAcentral is "bacterial SSU rRNA". It matches the Rfam family "Bacterial small subunit ribosomal RNA", at positions 69 to 901 of the family's 1533-position model. The record is from RNAcentral. Lineage: Bacteria; Bacillati; Bacillota; Bacilli; Caryophanales; Bacillaceae.